AGGACGAACGCUGGCGGCGCGCCUAACACAUGCAAGUCGAGCGAGAACCAGGGCUUGCCCUGGGGAAAGCGGCGAACGGGUGCGUAACACGUGAGCAACCUGCCCCAAAGACCGGGACAACCCGAGGAAACUCGGACUAAUACCGGAUGCCCUCACCGGGCCGCAUGGUCUGGUGAGGAAAUGGAUUCCGCUUUGGGAUGGGCUCGCGGUCUAUCAGCUUGUUGGUGGGGUAACGGCCUACCAAGGCGACGACGGAUAGCUGGUCUGAGAGGACGAUCAGCCACACUGGGACUGAGACACGGCCCAGACUCCUACGGAGGCAGCAGUGGGGAAUCUUGCGCAAUGGGGGAAACCCUGACGCAGCGACGCCGCGUGCGGGAUGAAGGCCUUCGGGUUGUAAACCGCUUUCAGCAGGGACGAAAUUGACGGUACCUGCAGAAGAAGGCCCGGCCAACUACGUGCCAGCAGCCGC
Molecule: ribosomal RNA, 472 nt
Filed under: uncultured bacterium
Lineage: Bacteria
Description: SSU rRNA
Rfam family: Bacterial small subunit ribosomal RNA
Source: RNAcentral